This 406-nucleotide ribosomal RNA is filed under the name Cryptocercus clevelandi. RNAcentral's name for it is "partial 16S ribosomal RNA". The record is from RNAcentral. Lineage: Eukaryota; Metazoa; Arthropoda; Insecta; Blattodea; Cryptocercidae.
CGCUGUUAUCCCUAAGGUAAUUUAGUCUUUUAAUCACUAAAAAUGGAUCAAAAAUAUAUAAAUAAAUAUAAAAAAAUAAAAAGAGUUAUUUUAAUCUUCCUAUCACCCCAACAAAAUUUACACAACAUUAAAUUUUUACCCACAAAAAAUAUUUAAAUAAAUCAAACUCUAUAGGGUCUUCUCGUCCCAAAAAAAUAUUUAGGCAUUUUAACCUAAAAUUUAAAUUCAACAUAAUAAAAAUCAAAGACAGUAAUUACCUCGUCAAACCAUUCAUUCCAGCCUACAAUUAAAAGACUAAUGAUUAUGCUACCUUUGCACGGUCAAAAUACCGCGGCCCUUCAAAUAAUCAGCGGGCAGGUCAUACAUCAUAUUAACAACAAAAAGAGAUGUUUUUGUUAAACAGGCG